Molecule: non-coding RNA, 85 nt
Organism: Parathielavia hyrcaniae
Lineage: Eukaryota; Fungi; Ascomycota; Sordariomycetes; Sordariales; Chaetomiaceae
Source: the annotation of a GenBank genome assembly
GGUUGUGUAGUGUAGCGGUUAUCACUUUGGAUUUUGACACCCCUCAAACUUUCCAAUAACCCCGGUUCGAACCCGGGCACGACCU